UAGUGUAGAUGUGAAUCAUCGAAUCUUUGAACGCAUAUUGCACUGCUUGGUUUUCCAGGCAGUAUAUCUGUUUGAGUAUCAGUUACUCAUCAGACUCUAGGUCUUUUAGUAGUCGUAAGGCGAAAGAUGACACGGAGUCUGGAUUUGGGACUUUUUCUUGACCUCGGUCGAGACAUGUCCUUCAAUACAUAGGUGUCUGGUCCGCCAGGUGCCGUUGUACAAUCACUUGGACUGAUCGCUGGUGAACAUGUUCGUCUUGCGAAUCCUCAGUCUGAGACGGUUGGCCGUAAGUAGUCCUCGGACUAUCUUACCAAUUGAUCUCAAAUCAGAUAAGACAACCCGCUGAACUUAAGCAUAUCAAUAAGCGGAGG
This 371-nucleotide ribosomal RNA is filed under the name uncultured Lobulomycetales. RNAcentral describes it as "eukaryotic LSU rRNA". The stretch from base 1 to 81 matches the Rfam family "5.8S ribosomal RNA", at positions 63 to 154 of the family's 154-position model. Lineage: Eukaryota; Fungi; Chytridiomycota; Chytridiomycetes; Lobulomycetales. The record is from RNAcentral.